RNAcentral lists this ribosomal RNA (216 nucleotides) under Lactiplantibacillus plantarum. Its description in RNAcentral is "partial 16S ribosomal RNA". It matches the Rfam family "Bacterial small subunit ribosomal RNA", at positions 318 to 526 of the family's 1533-position model. Lineage: Bacteria; Bacillati; Bacillota; Bacilli; Lactobacillales; Lactobacillaceae. The record is from RNAcentral.
ACUGAGACACGGUCCAAACUCCUACGGGAGGCAGCAGUAGGGAAUCUUCCACAAUGGACGAAAGUCUGAUGGAGCAACGCCGCGUGAGUGAAGAAGGGUUUCGGCUCGUAAAACUCUGUUGUUAAAGAAGAACAUAUCUGAGAGUAACUGUUCAGGUAUUGACGGUAUUUAACCAGAAAGCCACGGCUAACUACGUGCCAGCAGCCGCGGUAAUAC